UACAGAGGGUGCGAGCGUUAAUCGGAAUUACUGGGCGUAAAGCGUGCGUAGACGGUUGUGUAAGUCGGAUGUGAAAGCCCCGGGCUUAACCUGGGAACUGCAUUCGAGACUGCAUAGCUAGGAUGCGGAAGAGGGAAGUGGAAUUUCCGGUGUAGCGGUGAAAUGCGUAGAUAUCGGAAGGAACAUCAGUGGCGAAAGCGACUUCCUGGUCCAGCAUCGACGUUCAGGCACGAAAGCGUGGGGAGCAAACAGG
Molecule: ribosomal RNA, 253 nt
Filed under: uncultured bacterium
Lineage: Bacteria
Description: partial 16S ribosomal RNA
Rfam family: Bacterial small subunit ribosomal RNA
Source: RNAcentral